Long non-coding RNA from Fukomys damarensis (Damara mole-rat), 760 nucleotides. RefSeq lists it as uncharacterized. NCBI's taxonomy places the organism in Eukaryota, Metazoa, Chordata, Mammalia, Rodentia, Bathyergidae. The transcript is spliced from 3 exons. The record is from RefSeq and is a predicted model, not a curated record.
AAACACAGGUUUGGAACUUUGGAACUUUCUAUCACAGCUGAGAAGUGGCCUCCUCAUUUGUGAGCUCACUGAACCCCGUGAUGGCCCUGCGCAGUGUGUAGCCCAGCCCUUCUUCCGUAUGUUUGGCUACCCACAGGCUCACGGGCCAAGUCAUGUCACAGCCUCUCCCUGCUGACGGGUGGCCAGGCAGCAAGGGCUCAGAUUAAGAAUAGGUCAGAAGCAGAAAGCCAGGAAGAGGAAAUAAACCCCUCAGGGAGAGGACCACAGCUUGCAGAGCAACCCCGAGUCAGGUGCUGCUCUGUGACCCUCUCCUGGGUCCCCGUGGAAUCUCCUCAGCAACCUCGCAAGAUGAGAAAACUGAGACUGGAGCUGAAGAAACUUGGACGAGGCUUCAAGACUGACCGAGGACAGCACGGGUCCUGAAGGGGUCCUGGCCCUCCACAGCCCUCCCUUGUCCACUUGAGGGACCCAGCUCCCUCCUCAGCACCACCAGCCCUGUCUGGAAGCGCUGAGUCCCAGAAACAUGCUGUCCUGAAAAAACACACGCUGGGCCCAGUCCUGGGCCUUGAACCCUGAUUCCCGGCUUCUCACCCCUUGCCUGCACCCGCAUUGUGACCCUUCAGAGAUUCCUCGUGAUCUUCCAAAUGUGCCUAUGACAUUUGUACUUCAGCUUAGCACUCACUCUCUGGAGCAUUCCUGUCCUCCAAUUAAAUAAAAAAAAAAAAAACAUACAAGCACCUGGCAUGGUACCCGAGGCCUG